Arachis ipaensis is the source of this 298-nucleotide non-coding RNA. The record is from RefSeq and is a predicted model, not a curated record. Lineage: Eukaryota; Viridiplantae; Streptophyta; Magnoliopsida; Fabales; Fabaceae.
UCUGAAGAGAAAGGAUCAGGAAAUUCAUCCACCAUACAUUAACAUCUCAGGCCAAAAGACAAGCUAUGACUGUGCUAUUUAUGUAAUGAAGUGGCUUGAGAUAAUUCAGUCCGAAAACGUUAAAAGGGGGAAGUAUGAGUGGGACAACUGGACCCAGGACGACGUGGACCACUAUAGAGUAGAAUAUGCUUCCCGGAUUCUAUUCAAUGAAAUGAAUCAAGACAAAGGUGAAGCCAUUAGGGGAAGUGAUGCAAUAAGACUAUCCAAGCCAUUCUCAUUGUUAUUGAGUCCAUAUUGU